CUUGUACUCCCUCUGUCCGAAAAUACUUGUCAUUGAAAUGGAUGUAUCUAGAUGUAUUUUAGUUCUAGACACAUCCAUUUUGAUGACAAGUAAUUCCGGACGAAGGGAGUACUUG
Molecule: non-coding RNA, 115 nt
Organism: Triticum aestivum (bread wheat)
Lineage: Eukaryota; Viridiplantae; Streptophyta; Magnoliopsida; Poales; Poaceae
Source: Rfam